This is a long non-coding RNA of Mus caroli (Ryukyu mouse), 982 nucleotides long. RefSeq lists it as uncharacterized. The record is from RefSeq and is a predicted model, not a curated record. NCBI's taxonomy places the organism in Eukaryota, Metazoa, Chordata, Mammalia, Rodentia, Muridae.
UAGAAAAAAAAAAAUCCUUCUUCUUGGCUAUUUAAAAUUCCAUAACCAUGGAGAGGCAAUUAAUUCAACAAGAAGGACCCCAUUCCCAUGAAUAAGAGAGACAAACUUAAUUCAAAUUGCAUAGAGUACUAUCUUCUGAGGACCAGUGUGCCAGAGGGCGCAGGGGAAGUGGUCAUUUCCAGUGCUGGUAGGCAUGUAAUUUGAACAGUCACUCGAGCAAUUUGGCAUUGUCUGGAUAAACUAGAAUUCUCACACCCAGCAAUUCUCGGUCUGGAUUACUCAUGUGCCCAAGAGCCCCUGUGUGAGGCCACUUAGUGAAACAGUAAUUAUAAUCCCUAAAGUCCGGAAGGCUUCUAAAAGUCAAGGGACCUGCUUCAGUAUUUAAGUAGAGGACUGUGAUAGAACCGUUUAGAAUGUAAAAUAACAUAGAUUCAGCUUAGCAGGUGAUAUUAGGUCAUGAACUGGAAGACGAGAUGUCAAUCAUUCGCAACAGUCCCCAACUUCCAAGAAUUCAUUUUGCAUCCCACUUCUGGUAACCGAAGCCCAUUCUGGACUCCUGGGGACAUUUAGUCUAAUGCUCAGCCUUCCGCACCUCUCCGCACUGUUGAGCGUCAUGUGCAAACAUGGCCACCUAUGACUCCACGGCAGUGAACGCACAUCCCUCUUUCUCUACAGACAGCACAGAGGUUCACCAAAGCAGAUCCCUCUCUGCGCCCACUCUGGAGGAGCUCUCCAGACAACCUAUCACAUCAUCUUUAACCUCUGCCGAAGUUGAAACACCCACACGGAGAUAGACGAUUGGUCAGCCCGGGAAGAACUGCUCGGCCCUGAAGGGCAUUACCAGCUGGCUGAAGCACCUUGCAAGGAGUAUCAUGGAGCCAUUCUGCGGUCUGCAAACAACAAAGGGUUAAAUUACUGAGAGAACUGAGCAGAAGGGAAAUUUAUGAAGAAGGAUACCACAGACCAGUAAAAGUCUCUAUAG